Nothobranchius furzeri (turquoise killifish) is the source of this 127-nucleotide small nucleolar RNA. The record is from Ensembl. Lineage: Eukaryota; Metazoa; Chordata; Actinopteri; Cyprinodontiformes; Nothobranchiidae.
CCCGCCACUAUACAUGCCCGCUUCUGUGGCCGAGUAGAGUCCAGUGGAGGCUCAAAGCAACCCGGCUUUAGGAAACAGAGACGCCCACAUAAAUGGGUGUCCCUGUGCCGAAAAGCCCGGAACAGUC